This 375-nucleotide ribosomal RNA is filed under the name uncultured bacterium. RNAcentral's name for it is "partial 16S ribosomal RNA". It matches the Rfam family "Bacterial small subunit ribosomal RNA", at positions 338 to 710 of the family's 1533-position model. The record is from RNAcentral.
CCUACGGGUGGCAGCAGUGAGGAAUAUUGGUCAAUGGGCGUAAGCCUGAACCAGCCAAGCCGCGUGAGGGAUGAAGGUUCUAUGGAUCUUAAACCUCUUUUAUAAGGGAAUAAAGUGCGGGUCGUGUCCCGUUUUGUAUGUACCUUAUGAAUAAGGGUCGGCUAACUCCGUGCCAGCAGCCGCGGGAAUACGGAGGGUCCGAGCGUUAUCCGGAUUUAUUGGGGUUAAAGGGUGCGUAGGCGGCAUUGUAAGUCAGCGGUGAAAGUCUGUGGCUCAACCAUAGAACUGCCGUUGAAACUGGGAGGCUUGAGUAUGUGUGAGGCAGGCGGAAUGCGUGGUGUAGCGGUGAAAUGCGUAGAUAUCACGCAGAACAGC